RNAcentral lists this ribosomal RNA (253 nucleotides) under uncultured bacterium. RNAcentral's name for it is "partial 16S ribosomal RNA". It matches the Rfam family "Bacterial small subunit ribosomal RNA", at positions 524 to 776 of the family's 1533-position model. The record is from RNAcentral.
UACGUAGGGGGCUAGCGUUGCUCGGAAUUACUGGGCGUAAAGGGUGCGUAGGCGGUUCUUUAAGUCAGGGGUGAAAUCCUGGAGCUCAACUCCAGAACUGCCUUUGAUACUGCAGAUCUUGAGUUCGGGAGAGGUGAGUGGAACUGCGAGUGUAGAGGUGAAAUUCGUAGAUAUUCGCAAGAACACCAGUGGCGAAGGCGGCUCACUGGUCCGGUACUGACGCUGAGGCGCGAAAGCGUGGGGAGCAAACAGG